Molecule: long non-coding RNA, 707 nt
Organism: Acromyrmex echinatior (Panamanian leafcutter ant)
Lineage: Eukaryota; Metazoa; Arthropoda; Insecta; Hymenoptera; Formicidae
Source: RefSeq, a predicted model, not a curated record
UUUCACUCGCUGGCACUCGCUCGAAAAUAAAUUACGAAGGAUAUUCAUAUUUAGAGAAAUUUCAUAUUUUAGUCGCGUUAAUAAUUCGCCGAUUUUAGAUACGCGUGGGUCGUGGAAUUUCGAGCGAAGCGCAAAUAGUCGGCGUAAAGCAACCCAAAGGGCCGCACAUUAGUUUAUAAAUAACUGGUCGAAUGCAUAGGACGAAAUGCAGAACUGUUCUCGAACGCAAGGCACGAAGUCUCUAUUAGCUGUUUUACGAUCGUAUUUGUGGUUAACGCUGCUAAUGAAAAAAAUAUUCUGAUUAUAUCAGUGAGACGUAACAUGGAAUAACAGAACGCAUUUUAGUGAGAUUUUCAUCGUCAAGGAACGUCACUACGAUCGUGAACGAGGAGACAGCUCGGAUAUUUGCGAAUAUAUUCAUAGCACAAAUUUGACAUUACGCAAAGUUUAGUGUUCGAUAAAAGAGAGCGUAAUGUAAACACCGAUAUUUCUUUCGCAUUUAAUUAGCGCGAUGUAUUUGCGUUCGAAUAUAUUGGAGACUCGCUAUAAAUUCGUGCCCAUUUCCUUAACGGCGAGGCAUAAAUGUGGCGUUUAAAUUAUUAAUAGUCUUUAUCUUACCAAUUUUAUCUCAAUCGAUGAUAAAAAUACUAUUCCAGUAUAUAUAACACGCCGCUGUCGAAUCAGAGCAACGAUAAAUAUUCCCUUAA